GAAUCUUGCACAAUGGGCGAAAGCCUGAUGCAGCGACGCCGCGUGGGCGAUGAAGGUCUUCGGAUCGUAAAGCCCUUUUCUGCGUGACGAGAAAGGACGGUAGCGCAGGAAGAAGCGUCGGCUAACUACGUGCCAGCAGCCGCGGUAAAACGUAGGACGCAAGCGUUAUCCGGAGUUACUGGGCGUAAAGGGCGUGUAGGCGGCUUUUCAAGUGGCUCGUGAAAGACUUCGGCUCAACCGGGGGAGGUCGGGUCAGACUGAAAAGCUGGAGGAUGUCAGAGGGACACGGAAUUCCGGGUGUAGUGGUGAAAUGCGUAGAGAUCCGGAGGAACACCAGUGGCGCAGGCGGUGUCCUGGGACGUACCUGACGCUGAGACGCGAAAGCAUGGGGAGCGAACGGG
Molecule: ribosomal RNA, 401 nt
Filed under: uncultured bacterium
Lineage: Bacteria
Description: bacterial SSU rRNA
Rfam family: Bacterial small subunit ribosomal RNA
Source: RNAcentral